This 371-nucleotide RNase P RNA is filed under the name Rhodovulum sp. ES.010. RNAcentral's name for it is "Bacterial RNase P class A". It matches the Rfam family "Bacterial RNase P class A". From Rfam's summary of the family: Ribonuclease P (RNase P) is a ubiquitous endoribonuclease, found in archaea, bacteria and eukarya as well as chloroplasts and mitochondria. Lineage: Bacteria; Pseudomonadati; Pseudomonadota; Alphaproteobacteria; Rhodobacterales; Paracoccaceae. The record is from Rfam by way of RNAcentral.
GCGGAUGGCCGGAUGGCCGCGGGCGGCAGCGCCCGAGGAAAGUCCGGACUCCACGGAGCGACGGUGCCGGGUAACGCCCGGCGGGGGCAACCCCAGGGAAAGCGCCACAGAGAACAGACCGCCCCCGUCCGCGGGGGUAAGGGUGAAACGGUGGGGUAAGAGCCCACCGCGGCCCUGGCAACAGGGACGGCACGGCAAGCCCCACCGGGAGCAAUGCCGAAUAGGGACCCCGCGCGACGCGCUCGCAGGGCGGCUUCGGCCCAGGGGUCCGGGUUGGCAGCUCGAGCGCACCGGCAACGGUGCGCCCAGAGGAAUGGUCAUCCGGGGGCGCGAGCCCCCGACAGAAUCCGGCUUACAGGCCAUCCGCGCAU